This 459-nucleotide ribosomal RNA is filed under the name uncultured bacterium. RNAcentral's name for it is "partial 16S ribosomal RNA". It matches the Rfam family "Bacterial small subunit ribosomal RNA", at positions 338 to 795 of the family's 1533-position model. The record is from RNAcentral.
CCUACGGGAGGCAGCAGUGAGGAAUAUUGGUCAAUGGUCGGGAGACUGAACCAGCCAAGCCGCGUGAGGGAUGAAGGUACAGAGUAUCGUAAACCUCUUUUGUCAGGGAACAAAGGCGGGGACGUGUCCCCGGAUGAGUGUACCUGAAGAAAAAGCAUCGGCUAACUCCGUGCCAGCAGCCGCGGUAAUACGGAGGAUGCGAGCGUUAUCCGGAUUUAUUGGGUUUAAAGGGUGCGCAGGCGGUCUGUUAAGUCAGCGGUCAAAGCCCGGGGCUCAACCCCGGCCCGCCGUUGAAACUGGCAGGCUCGAGUUGGAGAGAAGUAUGCGGAAUGAGCGGUGUAGCGGUGAAAUGCAUAGAUAUCGCGAAGAACUCCGAUUGCGAAGGCAGCAUGCCGGCUCCACACUGACGCUGAGGCACGAAAGCGUGGGUAUCGAACAGGAUUAGAUACCCGGGUAGUC